CAGCUCGAGUUGACUGUCUGAACAAGCUUCAUGUUUGGAACACUGACAGUCUUUGCAGAGUCUAAAACAUGCACUGUCAUCCUCAUAUCAGCCAGAUGGAGAGUUCAGAGAAGACAAAAUCCACCAGUGUUUCUUCUUCGGCUCAGAUGACGUGAGCUCCAGCUGUUUGUCCACCUUCACCUCUGCAGAGAUCAGGAGGCCGGUAAAGCUGAAAGCAGGGCGAGAACAGUCUGUGCUGCUGCUGCUAAUGCAAAGCCAAUCCCCAG
This is a non-coding RNA of Labrus bergylta (ballan wrasse), 266 nucleotides long. NCBI's taxonomy places the organism in Eukaryota, Metazoa, Chordata, Actinopteri, Labriformes, Labridae. The record is from RefSeq and is a predicted model, not a curated record.